UUGCGAGUUCUAAGGACUAGGAGAUACACAACAGCUACCUUCAAUCAUUUUAAAAGUUUCGACCCCUUCCCCCACCCCUCUCAUUCACUAAAUGCAAAUUAUGCACUAGUGAAUAGCCUUCAGACCACAUAAGCAGCUGCUCCAACAGGGACUCCCCCUCCCCCUCUGAUGUGUGGCUUCUCUACUCAAGCAAACAGCUGUGAGCAUUCCGAAGCAAUUCCCCUGCCUGCCUCUUCUCCAGCAAACAGGAGCUGUUUGUUUUUUAGAUAAGCAGCUCCUGGGAGCCUGGGAUUCAGCCACUCUUCCGGUUUGCUGUGAACAGGCAUUCUGGGAUACCUCCUAAUACCCUGGAGGCCAGUUACAACGCUUUUGGUGGCCACACUUGUGGAGCAGCGCUGCAUUACCAGCGCUGCAAUCCUUAUACCUCAGGCAGAGCAGGAGUACAGCCAGCGCUGCAGCCAGGGAGAUGCAGGGCACAUACAGCGCUGCAAGUGUGGACAGUGAGUAAGUUGCAGCGCUGGUGGUGGGUUUACAGCGCUGCAACUCUCUAGUGUAGCCAAGCCUUAAAACUGCAAGACAAAUUUUUAGACUGUAGUAUCAAACUAUCUCUAAUGCUGGUCUGAGAUAACUGUUUAACUUUUUCUAGGCAUGAACAUGGCAAACAUCUCAGAGUGGUUUGAAAAACUUCAUGCUGGAUUUGGGAAUGGAGUUGUUGCUGGUUCAAUUGGCCUUUUUUGGAGAGAGAAAAAGGAACCAUUUUAGUUUAUUGCUCCUGCAAGAGGUAAAUAGCUUUUUUCCUUGUAUUCCUUUUCAUGAUUUUCUUUCAGUUAAUUGAAAAACUAUCUGAAUUGUAUUUUUUCAAAGAGCAAAUCACAUGUAUUCUGACCUUGCUUUCUUGAUACUUGAUUUGGUAGAAGGAGUUUGAGUAAUAGAAACAGAUUAAAUAAC
RNAcentral lists this long non-coding RNA (948 nucleotides) under Gopherus agassizii (Agassiz's desert tortoise). Its description in RNAcentral is "lncRNA (ENSGAGG00000001076.1)". The record is from RNAcentral. Lineage: Eukaryota; Metazoa; Chordata; Testudines; Testudinidae.